This 74-nucleotide transfer RNA is filed under the name Ailuropoda melanoleuca (giant panda). It matches the Rfam family "tRNA". From Rfam's summary of the family: Transfer RNA (tRNA) molecules are approximately 80 nucleotides in length. Their secondary structure includes four short double-helical elements and three loops (D, anti-codon, and T loops). Lineage: Eukaryota; Metazoa; Chordata; Mammalia; Carnivora; Ursidae. The record is from Rfam by way of RNAcentral.
GCCCAGAUAGCUCAGUUGGAAGAGCACAUGACUCUUGAUCUUGGGGUCAUGAGUUCAAGCCCCACGUUGGGGUA